GACGAACGCUGGCGGCGUGCUUAACACAUGCAAGUCGAACGGAAAGGCCCUGCUUUUGUGGGGUGCUCGAGUGGCGAACGGGUGAGUAACACGUGAGUAACCUGCCCUUGACUUUGGGAUAACUUCAGGAAACUGGGGCUAAUACCGGAUAGGCGCUCCUGCUGCAUGGUGGGGGUUGGAGAGUUUCGGCGGUUGGGGAUGGACUCGCGGCUUAUCAGCUUGUUGGUGGGGUAGUGGCUUACCAAGGCUUUGACGGGUAGCCGGCCUGAGAGGGUGACCGGCCACAUUGGGACUGAGAUACGGCCCAGACUCCUACGGGAGGCAGCAGUGGGGAAUAUUGCACAAUGGGCGGAAGCCUGAUGCAGCAACGCCGCGUGCGGGAUGACGGCCUUCGGGUUGUAAACCGCUUUCGCCUGUGACGAAGCGUGAGUGACGGUAAUGGGUAAAGAAGCACCGGCUAACUACGUG
RNAcentral lists this ribosomal RNA (468 nucleotides) under uncultured bacterium. RNAcentral describes it as "partial 16S ribosomal RNA". It matches the Rfam family "Bacterial small subunit ribosomal RNA", at positions 28 to 507 of the family's 1533-position model. The record is from RNAcentral.